CAGCAGCCGCGGUAAUACGAAGGGGGCUAGCGUUACUCGGAAUUACUGGGCGUAAAGGGCGCGUAGGCGGCGCUCCAAGUUAGGCGUGAAAGUCCUGGGCUCAACCUGGGAACUGCGCUUAAGACUGGAGUGCUUGAGGAUGGAAGAGGGUUGUGGAAUUCCCAGUGUAGAGGUGAAAUUCGUAGAUAUUGGGAAGAACACCGGUGGCGAAGGCGGCAACCUGGUCCAUUACUGACGCUGAGGCGCGACAGCGUGGGGAGCAAACAGGAUUAGAUACCCGGGUAGUCCCUGUCUCUUAUAC
RNAcentral lists this ribosomal RNA (301 nucleotides) under uncultured bacterium. RNAcentral describes it as "partial 16S ribosomal RNA". It matches the Rfam family "Bacterial small subunit ribosomal RNA", at positions 509 to 807 of the family's 1533-position model. The record is from RNAcentral.